UUCCUGGUAGCUCAGACGGUAAAGCAUCUGCCUACAAUGCAGGAGACCCAGGUUCGGUCCCUGGGUUGGGAA
This 72-nucleotide transfer RNA is filed under the name Ovis aries (sheep). It matches the Rfam family "tRNA". From Rfam's summary of the family: Transfer RNA (tRNA) molecules are approximately 80 nucleotides in length. Their secondary structure includes four short double-helical elements and three loops (D, anti-codon, and T loops). The record is from Rfam by way of RNAcentral. Lineage: Eukaryota; Metazoa; Chordata; Mammalia; Artiodactyla; Bovidae.